This 5030-nucleotide long non-coding RNA is filed under the name Sus scrofa (pig). RNAcentral's name for it is "lncRNA (ENSSSCG00065071866.1)". Lineage: Eukaryota; Metazoa; Chordata; Mammalia; Artiodactyla; Suidae. The record is from RNAcentral.
AUAGUUGACUUGCAAAGUUGUAUUAGUUCCAGGUAUAUAGCAAAGUUAAUCAGUCAUACAUAUAAAUAUAUCCAUUCUUUUUUCCCCGUAUAGGUUAUUACAAACUAUUGAGUAGGUUUUCCUGGACUACACACUUAAGUUCUUGUUAAUCAUCUAUUUUAUACAGUAGUAUGUAUGUGUUUUUCCCAUCCCACCAAUUCUCCCCCCACCCCAGUUUCAUCUAUGGUAACUGUAAUAUUGGUUUUGAAAAUUGUUCUAUUUUAUAAAUAAGUUCUUGUAUAGUUUUCUAUUAGAUUCCACAUAUGAUACCAUAAGAUAUUUGUCUUUCUCUGUCUGACUUACCUCACUCAAUAUGAUAAUCUCUAGGUCCAUUCAUAUCGCUGCAAAUGGCAUUAUUUCAUUCUUUUUUUUAAAGGCCAAAUAAUAUUCCAUUGUACACACAUGCUACAUCUUCUUUAUCCAUUCCUCUAUCAAUGGACCUUUAGUUUGCUUCUUGUCUCGGCUAUUGUAAAUAGUGCUGCAAUGAAUAUUGAGGAGCAUAUAUCUUUUUGAAUUAUGGUUUUCUCCAGAUAAAUGCCCAGGAGUGGGAUUGCUGGAUCAUAUGGUAAUUCUAUAUUUAGUUUUUAAAGGAACUUCCAUACAUCCCCCAUAGUGGAUGCACCAAUUUACAUUCCCACCAACAGUGUAGGUGGUUUCCCUUUUCUCCACACCCUCUCCAGCUUUUAUCAUUUGUAGACUUUUUGAUAAUUGCCAUCCUGACUGGUGUGAGGUGAUAGCUCAUUAUAGUUUUGGAUUUUUCUCUUUAUUUCUAAUCUUUCCCUGAGUUCUGUUAUCUCAUUUCUAUUAGAAAGUUCUGGUUUUUUUUAAUUUAAUCGUUUCUGAGUGCAUCUUUUUGACAUGCUUUCAUUGUCUGUAAGGAUGUUAUUCUGCUUUUUAUUCUCCUUUAUUCUCAUAAUAAUUUUAUAAGAGGGAGUGGAAUGGACUGGGAGUCUGUGGUUAGCAGAUGCAAACUAUUACAUUGAGAAUGGAUAAGCAAUGAAGUCCUACUGUACUGCACAGGGAACUAUAUCCAGUCUCUUGGGAUAGACCAUGAUGGAAGAUAAUAAGAAUGGGAAAGUAUAUAUAUGUAUUACUGGGUAGCAGAAAUUGGCACAACAUUGUAAAUCACCUAUAAUUUAAAAAGAAAAUUAAACCAACAAAAAUUAUUAAAAGUUUGUAUAUGAAAUCAGUUUUACAUGCACCUAAACUUUCGUAAGGUAUAGUUUUUGUAACUUCACAAAGCUUACUCUUCUACUGUUUUCUUACAAUAUUAAAUGUAAGGGUUUGUUUUAUGACAUUUCUUGUUCAUGUUCUUGUGCUCCAUUUUUAUCUGGAACAUCUUAUUUUUGUUUUUUUGUUUUUGUUUGUUUGUUUGUUUUUGUUUUUGUUUUUGUCUUUUUCAGGGCCGCACCCGUGGCAUAUGGAAGUUUCCAGGCUAGGAGUCUAAUCGGAGCUGUAGCUGCCGGCCUACACCACAGCUCACGGCAACACCAGAUCCUUAACCCACUGAGUAAGACCAGGGAUUGAACCCGCAACCUCAUGGGUCCUAGUCGGAUUCAUUAACCACUGAGCCACGACGGGAACUCCUGGAAUAUCUUUUUCUCUGUCUCUUGUCCCUUUUCUGCUCAACUUUUGAUUAUUCUCUCAGUCAUUUCUGCUCACUGUGGGGCUCUGCCUAUAAGGAAGCUGUGGGGUUGUGUGGGAGACAGAGUCCACUCCUUCAGACCUUACUCAGCACCUUUGCACUCAACUGUUGCUGGAGUGUGCAGAAUCCCUCAGUCUCAGCUGCUCUUCUUACAUUGGUCCUCUACUCAUUCUGGUGAUUACUGGUUGGGUGUUUUGGACAUUUUAGGCAGCUUCCCUCUGCUUCCUACACACAGGAGUAUGUCAUUCUUGCAGUUCUAGGUUGUUUGUUCUCACUCACAUAUCUUGGAUUCUUGGGGUAUCUUGCAACCUCAAUUUAUAGUAAAUCAAAGCAUUUUGGCUUUGUUUUCUUGUUGCUCAGGCAGUUUUUAUGUGAGAAUUUGAAAAAUUCAGAAAUAAGCCUUUAUUGACACCAUCUUUCUAAAAUGUCAAAACUUAUUAACUUUAUUUGUUAUGAAAUAAGGAAUUUUUUUUCAAGCUUUAUUGAGAUGAAAUUGAGAUAUAACACUGUGAGAAUUUGAAAAAUUCAGAAAUAAGCCUUUAUUGACCCCAUUUUUCUAAAAUGUCAAAACUUACUAACUUUAUUUGUUAUGAACUAAGGAGUUUUUUUCAAGCUUUAUUGAGAUGAAAUUGAGAUAUAACACUGGUCCAACAUCAUAGUAUGAUACAUGUUAUGGUACAUGUAUUUAUUGUGAAACAAUUACCAUGAUAAAUUUAGUUAAUCUAUCCUUCACCUCAUAUAAUUACCAUUUUGUUGUUAUGGUGAGAAUAUUUAAGAUUUAUUCUCUUAACAACUUUCAAGUAUAUAAUACAGUAUUCUUCUAUAUAGUCACCAUACUGUACAUUAGAUCCUCAGAACUUCUAACUGGGUGUUUGUACCCCUUGACCAGCAUCUCAUUUCCCUCACCCCUCAGUGCUUGGCAACCAUCAAUCUAUUCUCUGUUUCUAUGGGUUUGGCUUUUUUAGAUAACACAUAUAAGGGAGAACAUGCAGUAUGUAUCUUUCUAUGACUUGACUUGCUUCAUCUAGCAUAAUGCCCUCCGGUUUUAUCCAUGCCAUUGAAAAUGGCAGGAUUUCACUCUUUUUAAAAGUGAUUGAAUAUAUUCCAUUGUAUAUAUACCUAUGUACACUACAUCUUCUUUAUCCAUUCAUCUGUCAGUGGGCACUUAGGUUUUUUCCAUAUCUUUGUAUUGUGAAUAAAGCUGCAGUGAACAUGGAAUGCAGAUAUCUCUUUAAGAUCCAAUUUUCAUUUCCUUUUGGUGAAUAUUCAGAAGUGGGAUUGCUAGAUGGUAUGGUAGUUCUAGCUUUAAUUUUUUGAAGAACUUCUAUACUGUUUUCCAUAGUGGCUGCACCAGUUUACAUUCCCACCAACAGGGCACAAGGGCUCCCUUUUCUCCACUUACUCACCAGCAUGUGUUAUCCUUUGUCUCUUUGAUCAUAGCCAUUCUAACUGGUUUGAGGUGGUAUCUCACUGUGGUCUUGAUUUGCAUUUCCUGGAUGAUGAGUGGUGAUGAGCACCUUAUCAUGUACACUUGACCCUUUGAACAGCAUGGAAGUUAGAGGUGCCAACCUUCCAUGUAGUUGAAAAUUUGCUUGUAACCUUACAAUCAGCCCUCUGUUAUCUGUGGUUCCAUAAUACUAUACUUACUGCAGUGCCCUUUUACUCUGAUGCCUUUGAAUAGGGAAAUGACAUCAGAGCCCCUGAGGGAGGAGUGAGUAAGUAAAAAUGCCAACAGAGAUCAAGAACUGAUGGCACUGAGGGGAGAUGCAGUUCAUUGACUUUGACUCAAUUGAAGGUGCUAGGUUUGGCCGACGAACACGAACCACAACAGGAAAGUGGCAUUUACCACACAGGAAUGCCUGUUCGCCAGUUAGGAGAAAAGACAGAAAUACAUUUGGUUUCAAAUAUCAGCCUCAAAUCAAACUUUUGAAGUCCUGUGGAAAAUAAAGAAGACAAUAUACAAAGGGUCUUGGUGAACCGUGAAAGUGGCAUAAAGUGUAGGUAUCCAGAGCCCAGAUUCUGGAGUCAAAGGGUCUGGGUUUGGAACCCAGUCAAUAACCUACUAACUUUGUUACUAAUAUUUCUGAUCAGCAAUUCUUUUUUUUUUUUUUUUGGUCUUUUUGCCUUUUCUAGGGCCGCUCCCACGGCAUAUGGAGGUUCCCAGGCUAGGGGUCUAAUCGGAGCUGAAGCUGCUGACCUACACCAGGGCCACAGCAACGUGGGAUCCAAGCUGCGUCUGCAACCUGUGCCAGAGCUCACGCCAACGCCGGAUCCUUAACCCACUGAGCAAGGCCAGGGAUCAGAUCUGCAACCUCAUGGUUCCUGGUCAGAUUCGUUAACCAAUGAACCAUGAUGGGAACUCCUUGUGAUCAGCAAUUCUGAUGUGUGGGUUUAUUCUUCACUCCACCAAGCAAUUCUCCACCACCAGCUGAGUGUCUUACAAUUCAGCUCAGAUCUGACACUAUCUACCCAGAGAUAGCUUCAGAUUCACAAGUUAGGGCUCAAGCCUGAAAGACUGCCUCACCCCACCCCCUUCGGGUGCCAAUCUCAAGUCCAGGUUAUUACCUGUGCUUCUGACUCACAGGCUACAAGUCAGAGGUUCCCACUACCCACUUCCUGGUUCAAUUUAUUCUAGAGCAUCUCACAGAAAUUAGGAAACCAGCUUACUCACUAGGUUAUUGUGAGGUCUCAAAAAAAGGAGGUUCUUUUCUCCUCGAGGUUGAGGCCCAGUGGCACAAGGAAGCCCUCUGGCUCCACAACCUGAAAGUUCUCUGAACCCCCUUCUUUUGGGUUUUUUAUGGAGGCAUCAUUACCUAAGCACAAGUGAUUGAAUCAUUGGCCAUGUGAUGGAUUCAAUCUCUAACCAUGUUGCCUUCCAUAGAGAUCAGGUGGGUGGGACUAAAAAUUCCAACCCUCCAAUCACAGAGUUGGUUUCCUUGGGAACUAACUCCAUCCUUAGGUUUGUUCUUAACCUCAUCAACAUAACAAAAGAAAACAACAUAACAAAAGACACCUUUAUCACUCUCCUCACCUAGGGAAUUUCGGGGGUUUUAGGAGCCCGUGCCAGAGACAAAAUAUAUAGUAUUAUAAAUCACAGUAUCACAAUGACCUUGUACAGAUAACUUGACCUCUUUGUGCCUUGGUUUUUCUUUUCUAAAAAGUAAGGAGUAAUACUGUAAUAAUAAAUUAAUCACAUAAUUAAUACAUUAACUUAAUAAUUUAAAUUGACUAACAAUAUAAAGCACUUAGAACAGUACCUGGCACAUACUAUUUGUUGCUAUUGAUGUUAUUAUUCUUAUUCUUAUUAUAAUACCAUAAAGUUUGAGGAGAAAGAUUGUGCUAAAUG